Molecule: transfer RNA, 107 nt
Filed under: Penicillium chrysogenum
Lineage: Eukaryota; Fungi; Ascomycota; Eurotiomycetes; Eurotiales; Aspergillaceae
Also listed under: 1 other name
Description: tRNA-Asn
Rfam family: tRNA
About the family: Transfer RNA (tRNA) molecules are approximately 80 nucleotides in length. Their secondary structure includes four short double-helical elements and three loops (D, anti-codon, and T loops).
Source: RNAcentral
GCCGAGGUGGUGCAAUGGCAGCACAGCUGCUUGUUGUCGGCCCCCACAUUUGAGUGGGGGGCCCUGCGGGGCCCAGCAGCGAUCCAGGUUCGAAUCCUGGCCUGGUA